GACGAACGCUGGCGGCGUGCCUAAUACAUGCAAGUAGAACGCUGAAGCGAGGAGCUUGCUCUUCUUGGCUGAGUUGCGAACGGGUGAGUAACGCGUAGGUAACCUGCCUUGUAGCGGGGGAUAACUAUUGGAAACGAUAGCUAAUACCGCAUAACAAUGGAUGACACAUGUUAUUUAUUUGAAAGGGGCAAUUGUUCCACUACAUGGUGGACCUGCGUUGUAUUAGCUAGUAGGUGAGGUAAUGGCUCACCUAGGCGACGAUACAUAGCCGGCCUGCGAGGGGGGACGGCCCACCUGGGAAUUGGGAACGGCCCAGGACCCUUACGGAGGGAGGAGGAAGGGAUCUUUGGGAAUGGGGGCAAAGCUGGACGAGGAACGACGGGGGGGGGGAGGAGGGUUUCGGGUUGGAAAGCUUUGUUGUAUGGCGAGAAAGAGUGUGAGAGUGGAAUGUUCACGUUGUGACGGUAGCUGACCAGAAAGCGACGGCUAACUACGUG
This 497-nucleotide ribosomal RNA is filed under the name uncultured bacterium. RNAcentral describes it as "partial 16S ribosomal RNA". It matches the Rfam family "Bacterial small subunit ribosomal RNA", at positions 28 to 507 of the family's 1533-position model. The record is from RNAcentral.